This 1118-nucleotide long non-coding RNA is filed under the name Naja naja (Indian cobra). Its description in RNAcentral is "lncRNA (ENSNNAG00000017304.1)". Lineage: Eukaryota; Metazoa; Chordata; Lepidosauria; Squamata; Elapidae. The record is from RNAcentral.
UACAGGAGCGUGAAAUCAGUUUGAUGGGAAGUGACAAUUUUCUUGACAGAGAACUUAACAGAGUUGGGCUUUGUAUCUCAAGACUUGAAACGAAGUGGAGUCAAUAUUGACCCAGAGGUUUGCCAGUUUGUGAUUUCAGUGAAUGGGCUCAACGUUCUCCAUGCGGAUUACAGGACUGUGAGCAACCUCAUCUUAACUGGUCCUCGGACCAUCGUCAUGGAAGUGAUGGAAGAAAUUGAGCCCUGAGAUGGAUGCUUGACCUGCUGCACCACCGUUAUGGAUUCAGCCCCUGUGCAAACACAAGCAACAUUAUAGAAGGGGAUAAAAACACACUUUAUCUCAGAGAUCAAUUUUGCCUUCUAAGUACUUUUGUCUCCUCUUUAAUAAUUGGGUUUUUCAAUGGAUGUAGUCUAAGACCAUGGGUAUGCAUUGACAUGGUUGUGAAAAAGGUGAAACAAAAAUCUGAAGUUUAUUGGAGAACUGAUAUUAUAAAAUGAAGUAGAGGUGGGUCCUUCUCUCCAGCCCUCUCCCAAUAUUUGGGUUGAAAAAGGAAUGAUUUGAUCUAAUCUUUAUAUUCCUCCAGUGGCUUCACUGCAGAUCUGUUUGAUCAAGCUGCACCUGUUAGACAGAAGAAAGAUGAAGCUUUUCUUUAAUCUCUUUUAGCUUGGAAAAAUCUAUUGCCUUUUUUUUGUUUAAAGUUGGUGUUUAAAUUCAUGAGCUAUGUAGCUGUUAGAUUGAACAAUUAAAACCUCAGGUUUUAAACCUUGUUUCUGGCAAGGAGAAAGGAAGAAUCCAUUUAGUUUGCAUUUUAAUAUGAACUUUCCUAAGUCUUUAGUUGGAAAUUAGGAAAGAACUGAAACUUGGCUAACAUUCUGAAUGGGCACCUUUCCAAUGUUUGCAAUGCAACAUUUAAAAAAAAGGUUAUUAAGGGAAGUCUAUGCAAAGUGCAUAUAAAACAGUAAAGCUCAUAGAUACAUUGACUGAUGGAAAAUUACUUGCAGAAAGUGCUGACAUUAGCAAAAUUGCAAAGAAAAAUAACAAGGUUUUGAAGAAAUGUCGACGUAAAUUCACUCAAGUCUUGCUAUUAGCUUUUUGAAAAUACAGGUAGUUCUUGACUU